Molecule: ribosomal RNA, 301 nt
Filed under: uncultured bacterium
Lineage: Bacteria
Description: partial 16S ribosomal RNA
Rfam family: Bacterial small subunit ribosomal RNA
Source: RNAcentral
CAGCAGCCGCGGGAAUACGAAGGGUGCAAGCGUUACUCGGAAUUACUAGGCGUAAAGCGUGCGCAGGCGGUUGUGUAAGACAGGUGUGAAAUCCCCGGGCUUUACCUGGGAACUGCGCUUGUGACUGCACAGCUAGAGUAUGGCAGAGGGGGGUGGAAUUCCACGUGUAGCAGUGAAAUGCGUAGAGAUGUGGAGGAACACCGAUGGCGAAGGCAGCCCCCUGGGCCAAUACUGACGCUCAUGCACGAAAGCGUGGGGAGCAAACAGGAUUAGAUACCCGCGUAGUCCCUGUCUCUUAUAC